UGAGGGUUUUAUCAGUAGCUACAGAAACCACUUCCUCUUUUCAGUGUUAGUUUACUAAUCCCUUGAAGCUUGCGUGCACCUUCCACUCCUCACCUUCUGUAGCCACUCACCUCCUCUCACAUCCCACAUUACACUUCUAUGUGCUAUGGGAUCCAUCUAGGCAGUAGUUACUCUUAUUUCAAAACAAGGAUGUUAAAAAUUACUCUACUCAUCAACAAGUGAAAGAUCAUGCCUUGCAGCUUUGUGAGCUGUGCAAGGUGGCUUAGCUUCUUGACUCCGAAGCUUUCCUAAAUACAGAUGGGGUUUCACCGUGUUAGCCAGGAUGGUCUCCAUCUCCUGACCUCAGGUGAUCCACCCACCUCAGCCUCCCAAAGUGCUGGGAUUACAGGCAUGACCCGCUGCGCCCAGCCUAUGAGGAUUAUAUUUUUAAGGUCAGAGGACAGAUUUAUUUGCUGACCAGGAUAUCAAAGAUGAGAUGUUUCCAUCUCCUUCCUGGAGACAAUCCGGCAUAAUCAAGAUAUUGUCUUUUCCAGAGGAGAGGUGGAGAGGUUUGCCAGAAAUCCCUGUAUAAAAUUAGGAUAUCCUCAUCUGAGAGUUCCUCAAUUGUGACAGAGAUUCAUGGAGUGAUUAUUAUUUACCUGGGCCCAUGUCUGCCUUGUCCUCUCCUUCUUUCUUUUAAUAUUAUUAAAUAAAUAUUUUCUAUUAUUAUGAACUCCAUGUACAGAUUUUUAUUAGCUAUAAAUAUUUCCUCAUUUACACAAACUGUAAUUUUUUGCCCACACCUAUAUAAUUUUCUGUUUUUCUCUAC
Molecule: long non-coding RNA, 808 nt
Filed under: Homo sapiens (human)
Lineage: Eukaryota; Metazoa; Chordata; Mammalia; Primates; Hominidae
Description: HSALNT0364300
Source: RNAcentral